GGCWAGGAGAGGAUCCUGCGUCUGAUUAGCUAGUUGGCAGGGUAAUGGCCCACCAAGGCGACGAUCAGUAGCCGGCCUGAGAGRAUGAUCGGCCACACUGGAACUGAGACACGGUCCAGACUCCUACGGGAGGCAGCAGUGGGGAAUWUUGCGCAAUGGGCGMAAGUCUGACGCAGCAACGCCGCGUGKGUGAUGAAGGUCUUCGGRCUGUAAAGCCCUGUCRUCAG
RNAcentral lists this ribosomal RNA (227 nucleotides) under uncultured freshwater bacterium LCS-02. RNAcentral describes it as "partial 16S ribosomal RNA". It matches the Rfam family "Bacterial small subunit ribosomal RNA", at positions 216 to 442 of the family's 1533-position model. The record is from RNAcentral.